GGAGUGGUGGCUCAGUGGUUAAGAGCACCAACUGCUCCUCCAGAGGUCCUGAGUUCAAUUCCCAGCAACUGCA
Molecule: transfer RNA, 73 nt
Filed under: Mus musculus (house mouse)
Lineage: Eukaryota; Metazoa; Chordata; Mammalia; Rodentia; Muridae
Rfam family: tRNA
About the family: Transfer RNA (tRNA) molecules are approximately 80 nucleotides in length. Their secondary structure includes four short double-helical elements and three loops (D, anti-codon, and T loops). Further hydrogen bonds mediate the characteristic L-shaped molecular structure. tRNAs have two regions of fundamental functional importance: the anti-codon, which is responsible for specific mRNA codon recognition, and the 3' end, to which the tRNAs corresponding amino acid is attached (by aminoacyl-tRNA synthetases). tRNAs cope with the degeneracy of the genetic code in two manners: having more than one tRNA (with a specific anti-codon) for a particular amino acid; and 'wobble' base-pairing, i.e. permitting non-standard base-pairing at the 3rd anti-codon position.
Source: Rfam by way of RNAcentral